Molecule: unclassified non-coding RNA, 271 nt
Filed under: soil metagenome
Description: partial internal transcribed spacer 1
Source: RNAcentral
CUGAUUCAGGGGGAGAGUGUGUGUGUGCGUGCGUUCACGCGCGCGCCGCCGCGCCACCCCAACCAAUCUUUUGUGCACGGUUUCACGGUCAACGAGAGACGCCGCGCGCGUGUUGGCAAGUCAAGUGUCCGUCCCCCCUCCCCCCAGUGUGGGGGGUGGUGUGGGGUGGGUGACUUCUUGCCAACCGCAUGCGUCUGUGCGCGUUCUCUACGCUUACACAAUCUCUUGUGCAAUCUCUGUCUAACGCGUACCUAAAUAUUAUUAACACAUA